This 599-nucleotide ribosomal RNA is filed under the name uncultured bacterium. RNAcentral's name for it is "bacterial SSU rRNA". It matches the Rfam family "Bacterial small subunit ribosomal RNA", at positions 324 to 916 of the family's 1533-position model. The record is from RNAcentral.
GCGGGAAUUCGAUUCCUACGGGAGGCAGCAGUCGGGAAUUUUGGGCAAUGGGCGAAAGCCUGACCCAGCAACGCCGCGUGAAGGAUGAAGCUUUUCGGAGUGUAAACUUCGCAAGAAUAGGAAGAAUAAGUUUGAACAAAUAAUUCAAACGAUGACGGUACUAUUUGUAAGCUCCGGCUAACUCCGUGCCAGCAGCCGCGGUAAUACGGGGGGAGCAAGCGUUGUUCGGAUUUACUGGGCGUAAAGGGUGCGUAGGCGGCACCACAAGUCACUUGUGAAAUCUUUGGGCUUAACCCAAAGCGGCCAAGUGAUACUGUGGAGCUAGAGUGCAGAAGGGGCAACUGGAAUUCUCGGUGUAGCGGUGAAAUGCGUAGAUAUCGAGAGGAACACCUGCGGCGAAGGCGGGUUGCUGGGCUGACACUGACGCUGAGGCACGAAAGCUAGGGUAGCAAACGGGAUUAGAUACCCCGGUAGUCCUAGCCUUAAACGAUGAAUGCUUGGUGUCUGGAGUUUUAUAGUCUCCGGGUGCCGGCGCUAACGCAUUAAGCAUUCCGCCUGGGGAGUACGUUCGCAAGAAUGAAACUCAAAUGAAUUGACGG